RNAcentral lists this ribosomal RNA (253 nucleotides) under uncultured bacterium. Its description in RNAcentral is "partial 16S ribosomal RNA". It matches the Rfam family "Bacterial small subunit ribosomal RNA", at positions 524 to 776 of the family's 1533-position model. The record is from RNAcentral.
UACGAAGGGGGCUAGCGUUGCUCGGAAUUACUGGGCGUAAAGCGCACGUAGGCGGCUUCUUAAGUCGGUGGUGAAAUCCCCGGGCUCAACCCGGGAACUGCGUCCGAUACUGGCAGGCUUGAAUUCGGGAGAGGGAUGCGGAAUUCCAGGUGUAGCGGUGAAAUGCGUAGAUAUCAGGAGGAACACCGGUGGCGAAGGCGGCAUCCUGGACCGACACUGACGCUGAGGAGCGAAAGCCAGGGGAGCAAACGGG